RNAcentral lists this unclassified non-coding RNA (286 nucleotides) under Hevea brasiliensis (rubber tree). The record is from RNAcentral. Lineage: Eukaryota; Viridiplantae; Streptophyta; Magnoliopsida; Malpighiales; Euphorbiaceae.
AAGGAGCUUAUUGAGGCCAGGAGGGCUUAUGAAUAUGAAAAGAAAGCCAAUGAAGAACAAAUUGAACAAAAGCAAGCGAUGGAGAAGAACCUUGUUUCAAUGGCUCGUGAAAUAGAGAAACUGCGAGCAGAGAAGCUCAACAUAGAGAGAGCACGGGGAUUAGGUGCUGAGGGUUUUGGGAUCUUGAACAGAAGUCCUGAAAUGAGAUAUGCAGGUGGUGCAUAUGGUAGUAGCUAUGGUAGUUCUUGGGCACCAUAUGAGAAGCGUACCCGACGUUAAGUUUCAG